CAGUGUCACAGUUUGUUGUUCAAUAUAUGUUCACAUGUAGUGUGUGUACUUGUUUAGGUUUUUUUUUGUACAGUACCUACUGCAUUACUGUAAAUAUUACCUAGCUGUAGAUAUAUCCAUGUCAUCACUGUACCUGAAUGUUAAAAAACAUGUUAUCAGUGAAGUUUACUCAACUAACAGUGUUAUGUUACUGUACUCAUAAGUAUGCACAUGUAAGUAUGACCAUGUCUUCAAUACAUUGGUGUAACUAUUGUUAUUGUGACAAAUUUUAUUGUUAUUACAUCCAUGUUAUAUUAUGUUUAUGUAAACUAAAGUGCUAUGAGGCCAUGGGGGAUGGAAAGGUGAUGGUGCAGCUGAGUUUUUACCUGCUAUAAGGUUUGACUUUCUGGAGGAGACAACAGACCAGCCCCAAGGCAGCAGAAGUGGCCUGACCUCUAUCAGAAGUUCACUACAUCACACUUUGUUGGGUCACAGUCUACCUCAUUGACCCCCAGCUCUUCUCCACCUCCGUCCUCUGUGAGGAACCUGAGCCCUGCUCUGAACACCAAUCUGGCAGAAGUAAAGUGUUUAUUCAUUGGAUGAGUCUGGAGGAAUUCAGUCAGCCACUGCUGGAGCUACAGCUUCAUUCUGGUUGUUGAUGAGAUGAACAUAAACCAGUACAAACACACUAAAUUUCCAAUUGCACCUCCUGGAAGGCCUUAGCAGGUGGAACCAGGAUCAGGGGCCCCGCAGCAGUGAUCAGUGAGCUGUCGUUUCUCCUCAUCUACUCCGGGGAUAUGGCUCACUGUGAACAACAACAGCCUGAAGGUUGGUUAUUGGGAGGCUGCUGCCACCAUGCCACAACCCAGUGUCUCCUCUGCACUUGAUUCAGGAUCUCCUGAUGAGACUUGGACUUUGGAUGACUCUGGCGUCCCAGGCGUGGACAAAGUUGACAGCUUGGCAGGGUAUCUGAGCUGAGGGAGCAGCCGUGUCACCAACCAGCAGGUUGCUCUGUUACAAAACCUGCUGGACUAUGACAGGUAGAGGGUGGUGUUUGCUGCCAUACACCAGAGGAGGCUGAACACAGGUCUCCUUAGAAGCAGCAGGAGUUCACUCCAGGGAGUGUUUUCACACUCUCCACCACUUAACCUCUUGCCCAAUGGCCAGAUUGCUGCCACCUGAUUGCCCAUCUUUGUCAGGCUUUGUGCCAUCCACCACAGUCCCACAAAGAGGGGGACUGGCACAGUGCUCAGAUUGGAUCUCAUCUUGGAGGACUACAGGAAAAAUCAGGCAGCACAUUCCGACCUACGGGACAGUUCCCUGCUCCGCUCUCUGGCCCUCAGCUGGUGAUGCAAGCUCCAGUGACUUCACAGGUUCCCGUGCUGGUUGUUGCCCCACACUCCUUUGCCCUCUCUCUGGAGUAUAAAACACUGAUGAAUCACCACAGCAAGACAGAUCAGGAGGAUUGCAUCGAGGAGAAAUUUGCGACGUGGCAGCUGUAAACACAUUCUUUGAUAACUGUAGUGAAAGUGGUGCCAUCAGUCACCAGUGGAAGGGUUUGACUUAAUAAUAAUACUUAGCUCUUUGAAAACACUGCAGCAGCUGUUUUAAUAAGCCUUAAAAACCCAGCAGUGCAUCUGAUUUAUAUACAGUGUGUUAUUUAUAUAUAUUUAUAAUACAACAAAACACUUGUAGUGCCCCCCACCCCAAAACAGAUCACCAAAACUCAUUACCAGUUGCAGUACAGAGUUUCAUACAUCAUACAUGGUAGAAGUAGAUGUUAAACUAGUAUUGUUUCAACUUUCAUAUGGUGAUUUGGACUCAGCUGGAAGCAGAACUUGGGGUUAUAACAUUGAAAUGAUACUAAACAUUUUCUAAGGUGACUUGUCAGAUGCAUUGUACGCUGCAAAAAAGCACAGUAAUAAUAUACAGACAAUAUAGUCACUGGUACAUUUAAAUAUUUGGGUGGUUCAUGUCUUUAAUGCCUGCACACACAAUAGUCAAGCAGCUACUGGCUUGAAGUUUGAACGUACAAGUUUAUGGUAUCCUAAUUGUGAGGUAUUUACAUGGUUUACAUCUUUUACAAUCAAUAAUUUUAAAUCAAGACAAAUUUACCUUUUAAAAACACGUUUUAGGUUUCAUCAUCUGUAUCUCAAAUCUGUUUGAGAGGUUUGUUUAUUUAUGAAAAAUGCAAUGCUUAUGACCUGGUCCUUCCCCGCUUCCUCUGUAGCUUGUUGUACGAGCUCUCUGUAACGGCUACAAUUUUUCUUGUGCUUUGUUUCCAAAAAAUCAGUCCUACAUUAAAGAUAAUAGAACAAAAUUUGAUUGAUAUUUGGUUU
Seriola aureovittata is the source of this 2318-nucleotide long non-coding RNA. RefSeq lists it as uncharacterized. Lineage: Eukaryota; Metazoa; Chordata; Actinopteri; Carangiformes; Carangidae. The record is from RefSeq and is a predicted model, not a curated record. The transcript is spliced from 5 exons.